RNAcentral lists this non-coding RNA (151 nucleotides) under uncultured Mitsuokella sp. Lineage: Bacteria; Bacillati; Bacillota; Negativicutes; Selenomonadales; Selenomonadaceae. The record is from RNAcentral.
AGGUGUCGAAAGACUUAAUAGGGAAGUCCGGUAUAGUCCGGAGCGGUCCCGCCACUGUAGCAGCGAGUGAAUCUGUAUAUAUGUCACUGGGGGAAACCCUGGGAAGGCGCAGAGGAGCAAUGACCUGGAGCCAGGAGAACUGCCUGAUUGA